This 89-nucleotide transfer RNA is filed under the name Candidatus Xianfuyuplasma coldseepsis. Its description in RNAcentral is "Xianfuyuplasma coldseepsis tRNA-Ser". It matches the Rfam family "tRNA". Rfam says of the family: Transfer RNA (tRNA) molecules are approximately 80 nucleotides in length. Their secondary structure includes four short double-helical elements and three loops (D, anti-codon, and T loops). Lineage: Bacteria; Bacillati; Mycoplasmatota; Mollicutes; Candidatus Izemoplasmatales; Candidatus Izemoplasmataceae. The record is from RNAcentral.
GGAGGAAUACUCAAGUGGCUGAAGAGGCACGCUUGGAAAGCGUGUAGAUCGGAGACGGUGCAGGGGUUCAAAUCCCCUUUCCUCCGCCA